AAAGGUUUAGUUAAAAAAUAACAUUAAUUUGUCAAAUUAAAAUUAAUAAUUCUAUUAACCUUUU
This 64-nucleotide transfer RNA is filed under the name Aulacochilus grouvellei. RNAcentral describes it as "tRNA-Asp". The record is from RNAcentral. Lineage: Eukaryota; Metazoa; Arthropoda; Insecta; Coleoptera; Erotylidae.